AUGGGGCGGCGGUACGCAGCGAAGGGGAAGAAGAAGAGGAAGCUCGAAGAUGGCGUGGCCUCCCGUGCCGACGACGCGCAGGAGUUACCGCCACCGGAGGGCGACGAAGGGAAGGGAGAGGAGGAUGCGACGGAGGGGGACGAGACCGUGGAGGUAGCGGAGGGGAUUCCCGUCCUGCCCCGGCCAGUAGAUGGGAGGAAGCGGCCCAGGGCGAUCUUCGUGCUCGAGAGGGCCUGCCUGGAGGUCGGCAAAGUCGGCAAGACUAUGCAAAUCUUGAACUCGGACAAUCAUGCGAAUUAUUUGAGGAAGCAUAAUCGGAAUCCUGCUGAUUAUAGGCCUGAUAUCAUUUACCAGGCUCUAUUGGCAAUAUUUGAUAGCCCUCUAACUAAGGCUGGGAGGUUACAAGCUGUUUAUGUUAGGACAGAAAAGGGGGUGUUGUUUGAGGUCAAGCCGAAUGUUCUCUUGCCACGCACAUGCAAACGUUUUUGUGGCUUGAUGUCACAGUUAUUGCAAAAAUUGAGCAUUACUGCAGUUGGGAGGCGUGAGAAGCUCCUUAAUGUUAUUAAAAAUCCUGUUACUCAGUAUCUGCCUGUUGGCUCAAAGAAGAUUGGCCUUUCAUAUAGUGCGGAUAAGUCAGUUAAACUGAAUGACUAUGUUGCCGAAUCCAGUGAUGAUGAAGCCCUUGUGUUUGUGGUUGGUGCCAUGGCUCAUGGAAAGAUUGACAGUGCAUAUACAGAUGAUUACAUACAGAUUUCCAGCUACCCGCUCAGUGCUGCCUGCUGUUUAGGUAAAAUAUGCACCGCUCUGGAGCAGAAGUGGGACAUCCAGUGA
Molecule: ribosomal RNA, 831 nt
Filed under: Triticum aestivum (bread wheat)
Lineage: Eukaryota; Viridiplantae; Streptophyta; Magnoliopsida; Poales; Poaceae
Description: partial small subunit ribosomal RNA
Source: RNAcentral